GAUAAACGCUGGCGGCGCACAUAAGACAUGCAAGUCGAACGAACUUAAGCCUUAGUUUACUAUGGUAGCGGUUAGUGGCGGACUGGUGAGUAACACGUAAGCAACCUGCCUAUCAGAGGGGAACAACAGUUAGAAAUGACUGCUAAUACCGCAUAUGCCUUAAUCUUCGCAUGGAGAAAGAGGGAAAGGAGCAAUCCGCUGAUAGAUGGGCUUGCGUCUAAUUAGCUAGUUGGUGAGGUAACGGCCCACCAAGGCGACGAUUGGUAGCCGGACUGAGAGGUUGAACGGCCACAUUGGGACUGAGACACGGCCCAG
Molecule: ribosomal RNA, 315 nt
Filed under: uncultured bacterium
Lineage: Bacteria
Description: bacterial SSU rRNA
Rfam family: Bacterial small subunit ribosomal RNA
Source: RNAcentral